UCGGUUCCGGUUCACGUUCGGCGCAAAGGCCCGAGCGACCCGGCGACC
Molecule: non-coding RNA, 48 nt
Filed under: Nocardia testacea NBRC 100365
Lineage: Bacteria; Bacillati; Actinomycetota; Actinomycetes; Mycobacteriales; Nocardiaceae
Description: L31-Actinobacteria ribosomal protein leader
Rfam family: L31-Actinobacteria ribosomal protein leader
Source: RNAcentral